RNAcentral lists this long non-coding RNA (2360 nucleotides) under Homo sapiens (human). RNAcentral describes it as "HSALNT0028440". Lineage: Eukaryota; Metazoa; Chordata; Mammalia; Primates; Hominidae. The record is from RNAcentral.
UGUGGGCAGGCCCAGGGAGAAGGAGCUGUCCCCAUUCUUGAACCAUUGUCAGGUUGGCCAUUGAGUUGGGCUGAGUUUGGACUUGGCCAGGAUGGAAAGUGAGGAAGAGGAGAAUGGACAAAGAAAAGUGGCCCUGGAUAUUAGAUGGUGGGGCCUGGGGGUUGACAAUUCCUGUCUCCUGGGGUAGCGCAGUGCUGGCCACAAACAGGGCAUCUGGUGAAAGUUUGCUGAUUGACAGAUAGGGCGGGCUCCUGCUCCCUCCACCUAAGCCUUGUGUCUCUGAGAACCCCCUGGAGGAGAGGACACAGCUCUGCACCUCCUGUGGCUGGAGGGCUUUGUACCUGGAAGUCACCUUGGCAGGAAGCCUUUCUGCCUCCCUCCUCAUCCCGCUUCCUGCUAUGAUGCCCACUCAUUCAGCUUUGCUUUUUUCCCAUUUCCUGCUGCCAGGACUGUUCCAUGUUUCACUAGAAGGGAAACAUUAUUGUCCUUUCCACUUCUUACCCCUUCCACCAAUUUUCUUUUUAGGUAAUAAAUUUGUUCCUUAAUGAGCUUCCUCAGGAUCCAGCCAGGCCCCAGUCAAGGCCUGUCUCUGCCUUGGCACCUCAGGCACAGUCCUGGAGAAGCCAGGACCAGACCCCUCCCCAGGGAUCAGCAGCAGCCUCCACCGGGACUCGGAAUGUAUUAGGCCAUUAUCCCACCAAAGAUGGAAGCCCAAGCCCAUGUCCUCUCUUCCCCAGGGUUCAGAACAAGCCCAGCAACACUGUAAGUAGCAACUGCACUAGCAACAAUGCCCUCUGGUUAAAGCCAUGCAGAUAGCACAGGAAAUCGGAAUGGCAGGGGCUUUCAAGAUCAAAGUCAGUUGGAUCUUUUUUAGGGGAAGGGCGGAUCGGGUUUUGAAAGGAUUCAGAGAUGGAGGAAUUAAUCCUGCCGUUAUUUUGCAGACACCAGUUCUUUCACGGUGGGCCAGUGGCACCGUAUAAUCCAAGAUGAGGCUGCUGCCCUGAAUGCAGAGAAAGCCUCGUUUCCUUGCGUUAAACCCCACAUGGGAUGCUGUCCCUCUCCCACAGGGAUGGGGCAGGCUUGGUGGGAUAGCACUUGGAAAGAGCGCAUCUCAUGCCCGCCACGUGGCAAAUGGUCAGUGACCCCCUAACAGUGAUGCUGUGACCAGUAGCUUCCUACCCAAGGGGAGGCCAGAGCCUGAUGUCCCCUCUUGCCCGUGGAACAACUCGAGGCCAAGUUCUGAUCCUGAUAUCACUGUUUGGGGACAAAAGUCAACUAUUCACUCCACUGGAAGAUGUGGUUCACUCCACAGUCUCUGGGAUACGUCAGACCAGCAUAAGAUGCCGUUGAGGAACAAGCCAACAUAGCAAGGCUGCAACUACCACAGAGAUAGCAAGGAGACAGGUCAUAUGGGAAGAGGAUGGCCUUGGUGGGAGGUAGAUCUGAGUUCCAACUCUGGCUCUGCCACUUAAAGCUGUGCCACCUUGUGCAAAUCUCUUCACUUCUCUGAGUCAAUUUGUCAUCAUCAUUGUCAUUGUCAUCAUUGUCAUCGAUACCAUUCACUGAGUGUGCACUGUAUGCCAAGCAGCCAUCUCUCAUUUGAUUCUCAUAGCAACUGUAUGAAUAGAUAUCAUUACUCCUAUUUUAAGCACAAAGAAAGGAGGUUCAGGGAGAUUAUUAAACUUGCCCAAGACCAACAAGUAAGUAGUUAAGACAGGUUUUCAGCCUGACUCUCGCUGAUUCCAAAGCCUAUGUAUGUGGUGGGUUGCAUGGUGGUCCCCAAAAAGAUAUGUCCCUUUCCUAAGCCCCAGAACCUGUGAAUACGAUCUUAUUUAGAAAAACGAUCUUUAGGCCUGACACAGUGGCUCAGACCUAUAAUCCCAGCACUUUGGGAGGCCGAAGUGAGCAGACUGCUUGAGCUCAGGAGUUCAAGACCAGCCUGGCCAACAUGCUGAGACCCCAUCUCUAAAUAGCCUGGAGUGGUGGCAUACACCUGUGGCCCCAGCUUCUCAAGAGGCUGAGGUGAGAGGAUCUCUUGAGCCUGGGAGAUGGAGGUUGCAGUGGGCCGAGAUUGCACCACUGGACUCUAGCCUGGGCAACAGAGCGAGACCCUGUCUCAAAUAAAAAAGAAAAAGAGUCUUUGCAGAUGUAAUUAAGUCAUGGAUCUUGAGAUGACGUCAUCUAGGAAUAUCCAGAUGGGCCCUAAAUCUAAAGACAAGUGUCCUUAGACAGAAGAAAAAAAAGACACAGAGAAGAGACGGUUAUGUGAAGACAGAGGUAAGAUUAGAGGUCUGCAGUCAUGAGCCAAAGACCUCCUGAAGCCACCAGAUGCUGGAAGAGUCAAGGAAGGAUUCUUCCCU